CCUACGGUGGGCUGCAGUGGGGAAUAUUGCACAAUGGGGGAAGCCCUGAUGCAGCGACGCCGCGUGAGUGAAGAAGUAUCUCGGUACGUAAAGCUCUAUCAGCAGGGAAGAAAAUGACGGUACCUGACUAAGAAGCUCCGGCUAACUACGUGCCAGCAGCCGCGGUAAUACGUAGGGAGCAAGCGUUAUCCGGAUUUACUGGGAGUAAAGGGCGUGUAGGCGGGCAUGCAAGCCAGAAGUGAAAUCUGGGGGCUUAACCCCCAAACUGCUUUUGGAACUGCGUGUCUUGAGUGAUGGAGAGGCAGGCGGAAUUCCCAGUGUAGCGGUGAAAUGCGUAGAUAUUGGGAGGAACACCAGUGGCGAAGGCGGCCUGCUGGACAUUAACUGACGCUGAGGCGCGAAAGCGUGGGGAGCAAACAGGAUUAGAUACCCUGGUAGUC
This 440-nucleotide ribosomal RNA is filed under the name uncultured bacterium. Its description in RNAcentral is "partial 16S ribosomal RNA". It matches the Rfam family "Bacterial small subunit ribosomal RNA", at positions 338 to 795 of the family's 1533-position model. The record is from RNAcentral.